GCCAGAACUUAAACCAAAUGAUAACAAAACUCAGCUAGUCCACCCCCCCUUUAAAGGACCACUAUAGGCACCCAGACCACUUCAGCUUAAUGAAGUGGUCUGGGUGCCAGGACGAGAAGCUGCUAUGUUUACCUCUGGGUUAAUCUAGCCUCUAGUGGCUGUCUCAAACAAGUCCCACUGCCUUUGUUCGCACAAACAAGAUGGCCAAGAGCGCUUAAUUGAGGUACGCUUUGAAGUUAACGAGCCAGGGGGGUGGUCUCUGUUCGGUAGUUACAGCUACCAAAUGAAGGGAAAUAAACGAAAUGACUUCGU
Molecule: non-coding RNA, 312 nt
Organism: Pelobates cultripes (western spadefoot toad)
Lineage: Eukaryota; Metazoa; Chordata; Amphibia; Anura; Pelobatidae
Source: the annotation of a GenBank genome assembly